RNAcentral lists this ribosomal RNA (158 nucleotides) under Hymenoscyphus fructigenus. RNAcentral's name for it is "5.8S ribosomal RNA". It matches the Rfam family "5.8S ribosomal RNA". Rfam says of the family: 5.8S ribosomal RNA (5.8S rRNA) is a component of the large subunit of the eukaryotic ribosome. It is transcribed by RNA polymerase I as part of the 45S precursor that also contains 18S and 28S rRNA. Lineage: Eukaryota; Fungi; Ascomycota; Leotiomycetes; Helotiales; Helotiaceae. The record is from RNAcentral.
AACUUUCAACAACGGAUCUCUUGGUUCUGGCAUCGAUGAAGAACGCAGCGAAAUGCGAUAAGUAAUGUGAAUUGCAGAAUUCAGUGAAUCAUCGAAUCUUUGAACGCACAUUGCGCCCCUUGGUAUUCCGAGGGGCAUGCCUGUUCGAGCGUCAUUUA